GGAAGCAUAAUAGUUCAGAAUGUUCAAAAUAUUGUGGAAACUAUUGAUUAGGACGUGUUUCAGGCAAGAGAAACGACAUAUACGUUGGACUGCUGAAUGAGACCUCAUGAUAGGAUCGUGUAAAAAAUGAAAACAUCUGGAUUCGUUGGUAUGAAUGCCCUUUGGACUUUGAUGAAGAACAAGUAUCAGUGAACUACCGGUAAACACCUGGAGUGCACCAUCUGUUGCAUUUGGCACAAUAGGCGAUGCUGAAUAAAGAGCGAUAAGAUUUUUUCAUACCAAGAAAAAAAAAUUGUAAUUUAAAAUUCUCAGCGAAUCGGAGAAAUAAUCCAGACAAAUGAUGAAUAAUAAAAGUUCUGCACGAGAAAGCUACCACGAAGUCAAGUGGUUAAAACGAGAAAUAAAACAUAACUUAAAUGACACUUAUUGUUAACAAAAUAUUUUUUUAUUUGUUUAUUUGGGUUCUCAUCUCAGAAUUUCAGUAGUAUUGUUUUAUUAAUCGGGUCUAGAAACAACGAUCAUACAGUAGUUAAUAUGGAGAUUCAUGUGCUUAAUUUCGUAAAGAGCUUCUGAUGGCGUUUUUUUUAUGGAUUUAUAGGAAACCGUUGAACUUUAAAAUGAGAACAUUUAAACUUGUCAAAGGUGACAUUAUUCAUACUUAUCAGGAAAUCGCCAUUUUUGAUUUAGCAACGUUACUUGAAAAUACUCCAUUUAUUUGAAAAAGAAUCUGUUUGAUUAGCAUAUUUCGUCAGUGGUUUGGGUGUUCUCAGUGUUUGGGUAUUGACCACAAACGGGUUCCAUCUCCACUAACUAAGAUAAGCGAAGUUCGU
Malaya genurostris is the source of this 830-nucleotide long non-coding RNA. RefSeq lists it as uncharacterized. The record is from RefSeq and is a predicted model, not a curated record. Lineage: Eukaryota; Metazoa; Arthropoda; Insecta; Diptera; Culicidae. The transcript is spliced from 3 exons.